GAUGAAGAACGUAGCGAAAUGCGAUAAGUAAUGUGAAUUGCAGAAUUCAGUGAAUCAUCGAAUCUUUGAACGCACAUUGCGCCCCUUGGUAUUCCGAGGGGCAUGCCUGUUCGAGCGUCAUUAUCACCCCUCAAGCUUUGCUUGGUGUUGGGGCCUGCUGUAAUAGGCAGCCCUUAAAAUCAGUGGCGGUGCUUCAAGGCUCUAAGCGUAGUAAUUCUCCUCGCUAUAGUGUCUAGUGGUUGCCAGCCAGAACCCCCCAAUUUUCAUGAUUGACCUCGGAUCAGGUAGGGAUACCCGCUGAACUUAAGCAUAUCAAUAAGCGGAGG
This 326-nucleotide unclassified non-coding RNA is filed under the name soil metagenome. RNAcentral describes it as "partial contains 5.8S ribosomal RNA, internal transcribed spacer 2, and large subunit ribosomal RNA". The stretch from base 1 to 120 matches the Rfam family "5.8S ribosomal RNA", at positions 35 to 154 of the family's 154-position model. The record is from RNAcentral.